This 253-nucleotide ribosomal RNA is filed under the name uncultured bacterium. RNAcentral's name for it is "partial 16S ribosomal RNA". It matches the Rfam family "Bacterial small subunit ribosomal RNA", at positions 524 to 776 of the family's 1533-position model. The record is from RNAcentral.
UACGGGGGAAGCAAGCGUUGUUCGGAUUUACUGGGCGUAAAGGGCGCGUAGGCGGCCUGCUAAGUCGAACGUGAAAUCCCUGGGCUCAACCCAGGAACUGCGUCCGAUACUGGUUGGCUUGAAUCCGGGAGAGGGAUGUGGAAUUCCAGGUGUAGCGGUGAAAUGCGUAGAUAUCUGGAGGAACACCGGUGGCGAAGGCGACAUCCUGGACCGGUAUUGACGCUGAGGUGCGAAAGCGUGGGGAGCGAACAGG